AAAGGUAGCAUAAUCACUUGUCCCCUAAAUAGAGACUAGUAUGAAAGGCCAAAUGAAGGUUUACCUGUCUCUUGUAGCCAAUCUGUGAAACUAAUCUUUUAGUACAAAAGCUAAAAUAAAAACAUAAGACGAAAAGACCCUGUGGAACUUUUAAACGACAAACAUUAUAUGUUACCAUCGCUUUUAGUUGGGGCAACUAUGGAAUAAAACACAACUUCCAGUAUUUUUAAGGCACACACACCUAAAUCCAAUCGCUCGACCCAGUCACACUGAUUAAAGAAACAAGCUACCCCAGGGAUAACAGCGCCAUCCCCCCUUAGAGCCCCCAUCGACGGGGGGGUUUACGACCUCGAUGUUGGAUCAGGGCACCCAAACAGUGCAGAAGCUGUUAACGGUUUGUUUGUUCAACAAUUAAAGCCCUACGUGAUCUGAG
This 433-nucleotide ribosomal RNA is filed under the name Bachia scaea. Its description in RNAcentral is "partial 16S ribosomal RNA". It matches the Rfam family "Bacterial large subunit ribosomal RNA", at positions 1952 to 2609 of the family's 2925-position model. Lineage: Eukaryota; Metazoa; Chordata; Lepidosauria; Squamata; Gymnophthalmidae. The record is from RNAcentral.